CCUACGGGUGGCAGCAGUGGGGAAUAUUGCACAAUGGGGGCAACCCUGAUGCAGCGACGCCGCGUGAGUGAAGAAGUAAUUCGGUAUGUAAAGCUCUAUCAGCAGGGAAGAAAAUGACGGUACCUGAGUAAGUAGCCCCGGCUAACUACGUGCAGCAGCCGCGGUAAUACGUAGGGGGCAAGCGUUAUCCGGAUUUACUGGGUGGAAAGGGAGCGUAGACGGCAGUGCAAGUCUGGAGUGAAAGGCGGGGGGUCAACCCGCGGACUGCUCUGGAAACUGUACGGCGGGAGUGCAGGAGAGGUAAGUGGAAUUCCUAGUGUAGCGGUGAAAUGCGUAGAUAUUAGGAAGAACACCAGUGGCGAAGGCGGCUUACUGGACUGUAACUGACGUUGAGGCUCGAAAGCGUGGGGAGCAAACAGGAUUAGAUACCCUUGUAGUC
This 439-nucleotide ribosomal RNA is filed under the name uncultured bacterium. Its description in RNAcentral is "partial 16S ribosomal RNA". It matches the Rfam family "Bacterial small subunit ribosomal RNA", at positions 338 to 795 of the family's 1533-position model. The record is from RNAcentral.